GACGAACGCUGGCGGCGUGCUUAACACAUGCAAGUCGAACGGAAAGGCCCUGCUUUUGUGGGGUGCUCGAGUGGCGAACGGGUGAGUAACACGUGAGUAACCUGCCCUUGUCUUUGGGAUAACUUCUGGAAACUGGGGCUAAUACCGGAUAGGAGCUCUUGCUGCACGGUGGGGGUUGGAAAGUUUCGGCGGUUGGGGAUCGAAGGGCGGCUUAUCAGCUUGUUGGUGGGGUAGUUGCUUACCAAGGCUUUGACGGGUAGCCGGCCUGGGAGGGGGACCGGCCACAAUGGGACUGAGAUAGGGCCCAGACUCGAAUGGGAGGCAGCAGGGGGGAAUAUUGCACAGUGAGCGGAAGCGUGAUGCGGCAACGCCGCGUGCGGGAUGACGGCCUUCGGGUUGUAAACCGCUUUCGCCUGUGACGAAGCGUGAGUGACGGUAAUGGGUAAAGAAGCACCGGCUAACUACGUG
Molecule: ribosomal RNA, 468 nt
Filed under: uncultured bacterium
Lineage: Bacteria
Description: partial 16S ribosomal RNA
Rfam family: Bacterial small subunit ribosomal RNA
Source: RNAcentral